Molecule: transfer RNA, 69 nt
Filed under: Liparis punctulatus
Lineage: Eukaryota; Metazoa; Chordata; Actinopteri; Perciformes; Liparidae
Description: tRNA-Met
Rfam family: tRNA
About the family: Transfer RNA (tRNA) molecules are approximately 80 nucleotides in length. Their secondary structure includes four short double-helical elements and three loops (D, anti-codon, and T loops).
Source: RNAcentral
AGUAAAGUCAGCUAAUCAAGCUCUUGGGCCCAUACCCCAAAUAUGUUGGUUAAACUCCUUCCUCUACUA